Non-coding RNA from Danionella cerebrum, 75 nucleotides. The record is from the annotation of a GenBank genome assembly. NCBI's taxonomy places the organism in Eukaryota, Metazoa, Chordata, Actinopteri, Cypriniformes, Danionidae.
UCCUGCGGCUCAGUUGGUAGAGCGUUGCGCCAACAACACAAAUGUCGUGGGUUCAUAUCCCAGGGACAGCAGGAA